Molecule: long non-coding RNA, 3657 nt
Filed under: Homo sapiens (human)
Lineage: Eukaryota; Metazoa; Chordata; Mammalia; Primates; Hominidae
Description: HSALNT0398780
Source: RNAcentral
GCUUGCGGCGAGACUCUCCUGCGGGAGCGGGAGGCUUGGGCCUCUCAGGAGGGCACAGAGGUCCUUGCUGCUGCUCUUCCCUCCCCUUUUGGAAUCUUCUGGAGCAACUCUGGGAUCUCCCCACCCCGACCCCUCAUACCCAGUUCUUUAGAGUCGACCAUGGUGCCGUCACCUGGCCCCACCCUGACUCCAUUCUCCUGGCCACCCCCGACAACCCCACCACCGCCGCCAUGCCCUGGUACCAGUGCAGGUGAGCCCCACGUCUUCCUCGUGGUCACAGUUGUGCUUCCCCCAAGCCCCCGAGGGGCAGUCGCUCAGUGAGGCCUCGCUUCCCUUACAGCCCAUGUCAUCCAGCCAGAUGGGCCCAGUCCCAGGGCCGUAAUGGGUUUUGCCUACUCGAGGCCGGACCUUUCCACAGCCCAGUUCCCAGCAGGCCACAGUGGCGUCCCGCAGGUCCCAGUUGUCAUCACACACUGUUCCCCAGCGUCCGGCAUGCCACACUUCCAGCCGGCCAGCACAGCGGUUGGGCCCAUCGGCCAGACGAACCCGGAACAGGCCUGCGUGGAAGGCCCUUAGGUCAGGAGGGAGGGUCAGCCUCUCCCAUUCUCUCCCCACACCCCUCACGGCCACUCACCUGAUUCCCCAGUGGUGCUAACACUGGGAGAGGGGGCCGGGUCUUUGGGUGACUCUGGAGACCCUUCUGGGAUCUCAGCAGAUGGCUCCAGGGAGGCCUGAGGGAUACUCUUGAUAGUGGACUCAGAGGUCAUUUCUUGGGGGCCUUGAGUGGUCAGCAUUGCCAUGGUCUUAGUGGUCCGUUCUCGGGGGGCCUGAGGGGUCAGCGUGGCAGUGGUGUGAGAGGUCCAUCUCUGGGGGGCCUCCGUGGUCGGCCUUCUGGUAAACUCAGAGGUAGGUCUUCGGGAGGCCUCAGUGGUCAGUGCUGCAGUGGUCUGUGAGGUUAGGUCUGGGGGGCUUUGGGCCCUGGAGUGUUUCGUGGUUGGCAUCACUGGGGGUUGAGUGGUUGGUCUCUUUGCAUUUUUUGUCACCCACUUCUUAGUACUCUUAGGCAUUUUCCCUGGGGCCUUCGUGGUUGUUUUCUCCAGAACACUGGCAGUCACACUUGCAGAGGGCUUGGUGGCCAGCUCUCCCGGGAGCCAGGCAUCCCGAUCUCUCCCCAGUCCAGGAAUCCAGCUCCAGCUGAAGGGGUCUGAGAUGGAGUCCAGGCCUGGGGGCCCUGGAAGGUGAGUGGGGCAGGAAGAGAAGACAGAGACACCAUGAUGACAAGAUCAUCUACCCAGGCCCCUCCUUCUCUCCAGUCACUCACCCAGUUCCCAUUCAUUCAUCAUUCAUUCAUUUAUUGUCACAAAUAUUUAUUGAGCACCUCCUAUGAGCCACACACCAUAUUAGACCCUCGGGUAGCCUAUGGCAAGCCAAACCCGACACUGCCCCCGCCUUCUUGGCAUUUACAAUCUGGACAUAACUGACCCCCUCACCCUUUCACACCUGACCUCUCCUCUCCAUCUCCUCAGCUUCUGCUCUGAGUCAGGGCCUCAUUUCCUAUACCUUCUGACAGGUCUCCCUACCUCCCUGUCAAUUCUUACUGACCACCAGUGGGGUACCCAGGUCCGACAGGCCACUCCCGAACUCAGAAUCCUUCUGUGGUGCCCCCGUGGCCCUCAGGAAGACGGGGACAGAGGGAAGAGCCGUAGCUUCCAGCAGAGGUGAUGCCUCCAUCCUUUGAGACACCACUCUCCAUCUUCCAUCUUUCUGAUUAGCACACGUGUGCAGUAAAGGAUUAACCCUGCCCAAAGAAAGGUUUCGCCUUUUCCCCGGCUCCUGGGAGAUGACUUCGAAGCCUUUGGAACACCUUGCCUGAUAAGAGAUUUUUUUCCCUGGGGCACUUGGGCCAUGCCAGAUCGCCUAUGCUAACAGUGUGAUUUAUGGUCAGCCACAUGUACGUGGCCAAGUCCCCACGAACACUCUGGAUGCCAAGGCUUGGGGGAACUUCCCUAGUUGGCAGUUCCUCAUGUGUGUUGUCCCACUUCGUUGCUGGGAUAAUGAAGUGCUGUCUGCAUAACUCCACUGGGACAGGACAGUUGGAAGCUCACACCUACUGUCUCCUGAGCCCUGCCUCAGGCGCCUCUUCCCUUGGCUGAUUUUAAUCUGUAUCCUUUCACUGUGAUAAACGAUAACGCUGAGUGUAACAGAUUCUUUGAUUCUAAGAGUUCUUCUAGCAAAUUAUUGAGUCUGACAGUGGUCUUGGUAACCUCAAACUAUAACGAGUCACACAGGUUUGCAAUGAUUUGUUAGAGUAUUUCUCUACAUGAGCUGUGAGCUAUUCAAAGACCAAGACCAUGUUCAUUCCAUUCAUGAGCCCAGCAUGAGGACCCUGCACCUGGCUCAGCCUCUGCAAUUUAAUAACAGGCAUUGCCUGAGUUUAUGUUAACUGGCUCUCACUUUGGCUUCUUUCCAUCUCCCAGUGCCCUGCCUGCUUCCUUUCAUCGUAGGAAAGCUAAAGCUCCUUUCUUAGUGGGAAAUUUCCUUGAUUCCUGGAAGGAAGAGGAAGCAGAAGCUUCUCUGAGUGGGAAUCCCAGAUCUGCCAGUUAGUUGUUGCUGUGUGAUCUUGAGCAAGUUACCCAACCUCUCUGUGCCUCAGCUUCUUUAUCAGUAAAAUGGGCAUAACACACACCACCCUAGACUUAUUAUGUGAUUUCAAUGUGGUUAUAUGUGCAAAAACACCCAGCACAGGGCUGGGGCUUAGGAAGCACUCAAUCAAUGUUAGUGCCCAUGUUAGUUACUGUUCCCCUCCAGGAAGCCCUCCUGGAGUCAACAGAUAGCUAGGGCCUCCUUACCAGUGCAGGUGACCCCAACAUCCUCAUUGUGAGCGCAGUUGUGCUUUCCCCAGGGAGCAGCAGGGCAGUCGGACAGUGAAGCCUCGGUCCCCACACAGCCCACAUCAUCUAGCCAGAUGGGGCCCGCACCCCAGCCAAAGCGGCCAGCAGCAGGGUCUGGCUGCUGAGGUCCACCACAGCCCAGCUCCCGGCAGACCACAGCUGAAUCCCGCAUGUCCCAGCUAUCGUCACACACGGUCCCCCAGCGCUGGUCAUGCCACACCUCCAGUCGACCUGAGCACUUGCUGGGCCCAGCCACCAGGCGCAGCUGGGGGGACCCUGGGGUAGAAGAGACCCAAAGAAUUAGAGUCGGGGAAGCCGCCCAGCCUCCUGACUCUUCAUCCACCUUUCCCUCCCCCCAUCUUCCUUUCCACUCAUCCAUCUAGGCCUUCCCUCCAUUCAUCCAUCCUUUCCUCCAGGCAGCAAGUAUUUCAUGAGGCCUUUUUUGUGCCAUUUUCUGCAUUAGGCAUGAGGGAUAAUGAGUCAGGCAGAGUUUGGAGGAUCCUCAAAAAGCUACACAUCAAAUUACCAUAUAAUCUAGAAAGUCUGCUACUAGGGAUAUACCCAGAAUAAACUGAAAACAGGUAUUCACACAGAUACCAGUAUGUGAAUGUUCAUAGCAGCACCAUUCACAGUAGCCAAAUAGUAGUGGUUGUACAGCAUUUUGAAUGUAUAAAUACCACUUAAGUUGUAUACUUAAACUGGUUAACUUUAUGUUACAUGAAUGUCACCUCAAUUAAAAUAAGUCUUUUUCCAUGCAGUUGUUCAC